UUAAGUUCAGCGGGUAGUCCUACCUGAUUUGAGAUCAAACGUUCAAAAAGCUGUCCUCACUGAGGAGAGACCUUUAUGAGCCCCAGCACAAACCUCCAUCACUGAAGGUCACCUGAUGGGAGACCACAAGCGUAGAUAGUUAUCACACCUGUGAUGCCACCAAACACUGGCAAGCUGAUUCGUUUAAGAGGAGCUGACCA
This 200-nucleotide unclassified non-coding RNA is filed under the name Tomentella sp. RNAcentral's name for it is "partial internal transcribed spacer 2". Lineage: Eukaryota; Fungi; Basidiomycota; Agaricomycetes; Thelephorales; Thelephoraceae. The record is from RNAcentral.